AUUGAACGCUGGCGGCAGGCCUAACACAUGCAAGUCGAGCGGAUGAAGGGAGCUUGCUCCUGGAUUCAGCGGCGGACGGGUGAGUAAUGCCUAGGAAUCUGCCUGGUAGUGGGGGAUAGCGUCCGGAAACGGGCGCUAAUACCGCAUACGUCCUGAGGGAGAAAGUGGGGGAUCUUCGGACCUCACGCUAUCAGAUGAGCCUAGGUCGGAUUAGCUAGUUGGUGGGGUAAAGGCCUACCAAGGCGACGAUCCGUAACUGGUCUGAGAGGAUGAUCAGUCACACUGGAACUGAGACACGGUCCAGACUCCUACGGGAGGCAGCAGUGGGGAAUAUUGGACAAUGGGCGAAAGCCUGAUCCAGCCAUGCCGCGUGUGUGAAGAAGGUCUUCGGAUUGUAAAGCGCUUUAAGUUGGGAGGAAGGGCAGUAAGUUAAUACCUUGCUGUUUUGACGUUACCAACAGAAUAAGCACCGGCUAACUUCGUG
RNAcentral lists this ribosomal RNA (484 nucleotides) under uncultured bacterium. Its description in RNAcentral is "partial 16S ribosomal RNA". It matches the Rfam family "Bacterial small subunit ribosomal RNA", at positions 30 to 507 of the family's 1533-position model. The record is from RNAcentral.